GUGGGGAAUAUUGCACAAUGGGCGAAAGCCUGAUGCAGCGACGCCGCGUGGGGGAUGACGGCCUUCGGGUUGUAAACCUCUUUCAGCAAGGAAGAAGCGAAAGUGACGGUACUUGCAGAAGAAGCGCCGGCUAACUACGUGCCAGCAGCCGCGGUAAUACGUAGGGCGCAAGCGUUGUCCGGAAUUAUUGGGCGUAAAGAGCUUGUAGGUGGCUAGUCGCGUCUGCCGUGAAAACCCAGGGCUUAACCCUGGGCGUGCGGUGGGUACGGGCUGGCUAGAGUGUGGUAGGGGAGACUGGAAUUCCUGGUGUAGCGGUGAAAUGCGCAGAUAUCAGGAGGAACACCGAUGGCGAAGGCAGGUCUCUGGGCCAUUACUGACACUGAGAAGCGAAAGCAUGGGGAGCGAACAGGAUUAGAAACCCUAGUAGUCC
RNAcentral lists this ribosomal RNA (430 nucleotides) under uncultured bacterium. Its description in RNAcentral is "bacterial SSU rRNA". It matches the Rfam family "Bacterial small subunit ribosomal RNA", at positions 354 to 796 of the family's 1533-position model. The record is from RNAcentral.